UACGUAGGGAGCAAGCGUUGUCCGGAAUCAUUGGGCGUAAAGCGCGCGUAGGUGGCUUCGUAAGUCCGUUGUGAAAGUCAAAGGCUCAACCUUUGAAAGCCGAUGGAUACUGUGGAGCUAGAGUACGGAAGAGGCGAGUGGAAUUCCUGGUGUAGCGGUGGAAUGCGCAGAUAUCAGGAAGAACACCCGUGGCUAAGGCGGCUCUCUAGUACGGUACUGACGCUGAGACGCGAAAGCGUGGGGAGCGAACAGG
Molecule: ribosomal RNA, 253 nt
Filed under: uncultured bacterium
Lineage: Bacteria
Description: partial 16S ribosomal RNA
Rfam family: Bacterial small subunit ribosomal RNA
Source: RNAcentral